This 1035-nucleotide ribosomal RNA is filed under the name Triticum aestivum (bread wheat). RNAcentral's name for it is "partial small subunit ribosomal RNA". The record is from RNAcentral. Lineage: Eukaryota; Viridiplantae; Streptophyta; Magnoliopsida; Poales; Poaceae.
AUGACGUGCACAGCGGAGUCGGAGCAGGGGGAGCACUGGUUCAAGAUCUCCGAUUACAGCAUUCACAGGGGCAUGGGCGUCGGCUGCUACAUCGAGUCGUCCUGGUUCACCAUUGGCGGCCAUUACUGGCGCCUUCACUAUUACCCGGACGGAUAUUCGGAAGAUGGCAAGGGCGAUAUGGUGGUCGGUCUGGAGCUGAUGGAGCUGUGUGGGAAGGAAUUCCCGUCGCGGGUAUCCUCCACAAUCAGCUUGUUCUACUGGGCAACCAAGCGGUUUUCUCUUUCUUCGUCGGUGGCCAUGUCGGCCAAUCUUCGCGAUCUGAGCCACUUUGUCACGCACAACAUAAACAGGGGCAAGAUGGAAGCAUCAGAAUAUAUUGUUGAUGACCGUCUCACUAUCAAAUGCAUCGUGACCAUCAUCAAGGAGCCAUAUGUUUUCGAGGCGGAGGCCCAGGUGCCGGUGCCACCGUCGGAAAUCACGGACCAACUCGGGAAGCUGCCAGAGGCAAAGGAGGGCGCCGAUGUGACAUUCGAGGUUCAAGGAGAGGAAUUCCCGGCCCACAAGCUCGUGCUGGUGGUGCGGUCUCCGGUUUUCAAGGCCAUGCUCUACGGGCCGAUGAUGGAGAAGGAUUCAAGCCGCAUCGUCAUUGCCAACAUGCAACCCGUUGUCUUCAAGUUUCUGCUCUACUUCAUUUAUAACGAUUCGUUGCCUGACGACGACGACGACUUGCUGGAUGGAGACGAUAAGAAAAAGGUGACCAGACACCUACUCGUGGCUGCGGAUCGCUAUGGCAUGGAAAGAUUGAAGCUUAUGUGCGAAAUCAUCCUCUGCAAACACCUCGAUGCCGAGUCUGUUGCAACUACAUUGGCUUUGGCCAAUCAACAUACUCGUUCUGGGCUACAAGAUGCUUGCAUUCGAUUUAUUGCAUCAUCAUCUACUAAAAUGUUAGAUGAUGUGGUGGCAAGCGGAGGGUACAAAUCGUCUCAAAAGAACUUGUUCAGAUACCAUAAUGGAGAUGUGGGAAAAAGCAAGUAG